UUUCCCAUUUGACUAUCACAUGUUCUCCUAAUUGUAAAUUGUGGCUGUGCUUGUGGGAUAGAUUAAAGGCGCCACAAUCUGAAGAGGUUGGGUUUUCCAGUGUCCUUCCUCUGUAUGAAAUGGGUGGACAGAAAAAU
This is a small nucleolar RNA of Jaculus jaculus (lesser Egyptian jerboa), 137 nucleotides long. Lineage: Eukaryota; Metazoa; Chordata; Mammalia; Rodentia; Dipodidae. The record is from Ensembl.